UACGUAGGCAGCGAGCGUUGUUCGGAGUUACUGGGCGUAAAGGGUGUGUAGGCGGUUGUUUAAGUUUGGUGUGAAAUCUCCCGGCUCAACUGGGAGGGUGCGCCGAAUACUGAAUGACUUGGAGUGCGGGAGAGGAAAGUGGAAUUCCUGGUGUAGCGGUGAAAUGCGCAGAUAUCGGGAAGAACACCCGUGGCGAAGGCGGCACUCUGGGACGGUACUGACGCUGAGACGCGAAAGCGUGGGGAGCGAACAGG
RNAcentral lists this ribosomal RNA (254 nucleotides) under uncultured bacterium. RNAcentral's name for it is "partial 16S ribosomal RNA". It matches the Rfam family "Bacterial small subunit ribosomal RNA", at positions 524 to 776 of the family's 1533-position model. The record is from RNAcentral.